Molecule: long non-coding RNA, 2793 nt
Filed under: Pongo abelii (Sumatran orangutan)
Lineage: Eukaryota; Metazoa; Chordata; Mammalia; Primates; Hominidae
Description: lincRNA
Source: RNAcentral
AGCUUACUGUUAGUGGUCGAGUUUUUCUGGAAGUGGGCUUCCGCGAUCGCGGGGACCAACGCCCUGAGCUCUUGUGCCCAAACGGGAUCGCCAGGUUUUUUGAUGCAGAUCGAAAGGAACUGGCCCCGGAGCCUACAACCUGACGCAGGUGGACAAGGUGGAGGAGAGAGAAUUCCUUGGCAGCAGCAUUAUGAACAAAUGCGGGGCUGAGAAACAGCAUGGUGGCCUUGACUAAGUGUAUGGCGACAGCAGUUGGGGUAACAUGUGACCUGGAUCUGAUCAUUGUGAUUCAAGUCAGCGUCACUGUGGGGGUUUCAGGAAACAUUUUUUGAAAGGGAGCAACUUGGCUGGAACACUCCAUCAAUUCUUUGCCCUGUGCAUUUUUGCCCUUCUUUCUGCCUCUCAGGAACGCAGACAGAAUUCCUGGAGGAACAGCAGCUGUCAUACAUCCAUGAUGAUGAAAGUCAUGGGACAAAGGCAAUUGAGCAAGAAGACAGGAGCUGGGGACAUUCUUGACAGUAGUGCCACCUCUGGAUGAUUUACCUUGGGACCUCUUAUUAAAUGAGAUAGGACUCCUUCCUGUUUAAUCCACUGGAGUAGAAUUUUCUGUUACAGUAAAUCCAGUCCUAAGUGAUGAUAUUGGCUAAUACAUGUUAGCACCUGCUAUGUCCCAGUACAGUUUAAGCAUUUUAUCUACUAAUGUUUUAAAUUUUCUCAAUGACCUUAUGAGAUAGGCCAAAGGUUCUCAGAGUGUGGUUCCUGGACCAGCAGCAUCAGCAUCACCUGGAAACUUGUUAGAAAUACAAAUUUUAGGGCCUGGCCCUAGACCCACUGAAUCAGAAACUCUAGAGGUGAGGAUCUAGCAGUCUGUUUAAAAAGCCCUCCAUGCUAUUUUGAUGAAUGCCAAAGUUGGACAGCUACUGAGAUAGGGUAUUGUUACUCUCCCCAUUUUACAGAUAAGGAAACAGCUGAAUUUAUGUCACUUGCCCAAUGUCCCACAACUAGCAAGACUGACUCCUUGGAGUUCAUCACAUGUAAGAACUGCUUUAGAGCAGUGGUAUUCAAACUUUGAAAGCAUAUCCUGUUGAAAAAUUAUGUAUCCACUACUACAUUUUUAAGUUGACAUCUAAAAAUUUCACAUCAUAAGUUUAAAGAGUUGUAAAAAAUGUGAUUUCCGGUAUAUUGUGAAUUAUGACAUUUUAAAAUGUGUUCCAUCACUCCUCUAAAUGUAUUCAGUGGUUUCUAAAUACCAUAGUGAUUUAAAUCUAUCAUCAAAUUAAAAAAAAAAACAAGCUUUUUUUUUAAACAUUAGAUAUUUUACAUCUUUUUCUCUUUUUUUUUUUUUUUUUUGAGACAGAAUCUCGCUGUGUCACACAGGCUGGAGUGCAGUGGCACAAUCUUGGCUCAUUGCAACUUCCACUUCCCAGGUUCAAGCAAUUCUCCUGCCUCAGCUUCCCGAGUAGCUGGGAUUACAGGCGUAUGCCACCAUGCCCAGUUAAUUUUUGUAUUUUUAGUAGAGACGGGUUUUUAUCAUGUUGGCUAAGCUGGUCUUGAACUCCUGACCUCAAGUGAUCUGCCCACCUUGGCCUUCCAAAGUACUGGGACUACAGGCAUGAGACACCAAGCCUGGCCAUCUUUCUCUUUUUUACUUGAACUCAGUCUUUUUAUUCUUCCUCCGUUCCUCUCUCUCUUUUUUUUUUUUUUCUUUUUUUUUCUUUUUUUUUGAGACAGUCCCACUAUGUCACCCAUGCUGGAGUGCAGUGGCGCAAUCUCGGCUCACUGCAGCAUCCACCUCCCAGAUUCAAGCGAUUCUCCUGCCUCAGCCUCCUGAGUAGCUGGGACUACAGGUUCACGCCACCAUGCCCGGCUAAUUUUUUUGUAUUUUUAGUAGAGAUGGGGUUUCACCAUGUUGGCCAGGAUGGUCUCGAUCUUCUGACCUCGUGAUCUGCCUGCCUUGGCCUCCCAAAGUGCUGGGAUCACAGGCAUGAACCACUGCUCCUGGCCUCUUUCUUUCUUUUCUAUUCUUUUCCAUGUGCCCUCCCCAAACAUCUCUCUCCCUACUUCCCUCCCUCCCUACUUUCCUUCCUUCCUUCCUCUCUUUCUCUUCCUCUCUAUUUUUCUUUUUUUCCUUCUUUUUUGAGACCAUCUCACUCUGUUGCCCAGGAUGGAAUGCAGUGGCACAAUCUUAGCUCACUACAACCUCUGCCUCCCAGGUUCAAGCAAUUCUCCUGCCUCAGCCUCCCAAGUAGCUGGGACCACAGGCAGAUGCCACUACGCCCAGCUAAAGUUUUUUUUUUUUUUUUUUUUCUUAGAGACAAGGGAUCUCAUUAGGUUGCCCAAACUGGUCGUGAACUCCUGGGCUCAAGCACUCUGCCUGCCUCGGCCUCCCAAAGUGUUGGGAUUACAGGCGUGAGCCACUGUGCAUGCUGGGACUGAUAUUUUCUAAUUCAUGUUUCCAUGGAAGAAUAUUCCUCACUGCUAGAAUGAGACCAGAGGUCAAAAUCAGCUCUAUGUCUGUUUGUCAUUCUUAUGGAUAUGAGAAAUUGUGUUCACACAAGUAGAUAGGAAUGAAAGGAAUUUUGAAAUAGAAAUGCAGUUCUAAUUUUUCUAACUUCCAUAUUACGUACCAAAAAUCACAUAAGAAUCUAUCGUAAGAUUCUCUAGUCUUCUCUCAUCUGGUAAUCUUCUUUUCCACGCUUUCUUUGUAACCCCCUCAUGUGGCCAAUAUUUACAGUAAUGUUUUCCAACUUCUUUUUCUUCAGCUCACAGUAAUAAAUACAUUUUACAUCUUGA